GAUGAACGCUGGCGGCGUGCCUAACACAUGCAAGUCGAACGGUGAAGCAGGAGCUUGCUCUUGUGGAGCAGUGGCGAACGGGUGAGUAACACGUGAGCAACCUGCCCCUGACUCGGGGAUAAGCGCCGGAAACGGCGUCUAAUACUGGAUAUGUGAUGUGACCGCAUGGUCGGCGACUGGAAAGAAUCUCGGUUGGGGAUGGGGUCGCGGCCUAUCAGCUUGUUGGUGAGGUAAUGGCUCACCAAGGCGUCGACGGGUAGCCGGCCUGAGAGGGCGACCGGCCACACUGGGACUGAGACACGGCCCAGACUCCUACGGGAGGCAGCAGUGGGGAAUAUUGCACAAUGGGCGGAAGCCUGAUGCAGCAACGCCGCGUGAGGGAUGACGGCCUUCGGGUUGUAAACCUCUUUUAGCAGGGAAGAAGCGAAAGUGACGGUACCUGCAGAAAAAGCACCGGCUAACUACGUGCCAGCCGCCGCGGUAA
Molecule: ribosomal RNA, 484 nt
Filed under: uncultured bacterium
Lineage: Bacteria
Description: partial 16S ribosomal RNA
Rfam family: Bacterial small subunit ribosomal RNA
Source: RNAcentral